AGUGAACGCUGGCGGCAGGCCUAACACAUGCAAGUCGAACGGCAGCACAAGAGAGCUUGCUCUCUGGGUGGCGAGUGGCGGACGGGUGAGGAAUGCAUCGGAAUCUGCCCAUUUGUGGGGGAUAACCUCGGGAAACCAGGACUAAUACCGCAUACGACCUACGGGUGAAAGCAGGGGAUCUUCGGACCUUGCGCAGAUGGAUGAGCCGAUGCCGGAUUAGCUAGUUGGAGGGGUAAAGGCCCACCAAGGCGACGAUCCGUAGCUGGUCUGAGAGGAUGAUCAGCCACACUGGGACUGAGACACGGCCCAGACUCCUACGGGAGGCAGCAGUGGGGAAUAUUGGACAAUGGGCGCAAGCCUGAUCCAGCCAUGCCGCGUGUGUGAAGAAGGCCUUCGGGUUGUAAAGCACUUUUGUUGGGAAAGAAAAGCAGCCGGUUAAUACCCGGUUGUCAUGACGGUACCCAAAGAAUAAGCACCGGCUAACUUCGU
This 489-nucleotide ribosomal RNA is filed under the name uncultured bacterium. RNAcentral describes it as "partial 16S ribosomal RNA". It matches the Rfam family "Bacterial small subunit ribosomal RNA", at positions 29 to 506 of the family's 1533-position model. The record is from RNAcentral.